AGCUGCGUCGAGAUCUUCGCAUGGGCGAAGCCUGACRAGGCGACGCCGUGUGAGCGAAGAAGGCCUUCGGGUUGUAAAGCUCUUUCGCUGGGGAACAAGAGAGGUUGGYYAAUACCCGAUUAAUUUGAUGGUACUUGGAAAAGAAGCACCGGCUAACUC
Molecule: ribosomal RNA, 159 nt
Filed under: uncultured Chlamydiales bacterium
Lineage: Bacteria; Pseudomonadati; Chlamydiota; Chlamydiia; Chlamydiales
Description: partial 16S ribosomal RNA
Rfam family: Bacterial small subunit ribosomal RNA
Source: RNAcentral